UACGUAGGUGGCGAACGUUAUCCGGAAUUACUGGGCGUAAAGGGUCCGCAGGCGGAUAAGCAAGUCUGACGUGAAAGCGCUCGGCUCAACUGAGCGACGCCGUUAGAAACUGCUUGUCUUGAAUCAGGCAGAGGUCGGUGGAAUUCCUGGUGUAGUGGUGGAAUGCGUAGAUAUCAGGAGGAACGCCAAAGGCGAAGGCAGCCGGCUAGGCCAUGAUUGACGCUGAGGGACGAAAGCGUGGGGAGCGAACAGG
Molecule: unclassified non-coding RNA, 253 nt
Filed under: uncultured Anaerolineae bacterium
Lineage: Bacteria; Bacillati; Chloroflexota; Anaerolineae
Description: contains 16S-23S intergenic spacer region
Rfam family: Bacterial small subunit ribosomal RNA
Source: RNAcentral